UAUUUAAAUAGUUUAUUAAAAUAUUGAUUUGUGGAAUCAAAGAUGUUUAUGACUUUAAAU
This 60-nucleotide transfer RNA is filed under the name Coleoptera sp. ACP-2013. RNAcentral's name for it is "tRNA-His". The record is from RNAcentral. Lineage: Eukaryota; Metazoa; Arthropoda; Insecta; Coleoptera.